UGAAAAUUAAGGCAUUAAAAUGUUAUACUGGUCCAAAUUAUUUUAUGAAUAUGCUGUCGCAGACCUUCCUUGGAACAAAAAGGUGGGAAUCGCUGCUCCACGACAUACUUGCAGUGUUCAGUUGACGGAGUUUAUAUUGGGUUUUGGCGCCCUCUUCUGUUCAGAGUCGGAACUUGAACCGUCGUCUCUCCCGGCAGCCACCGCGGCUCUUCCACUAACAACAUGGACGAAGAUGGAGGAACAGCAACACGUAUUCAACGACCUGCGAGAAGUCGAGUCUUUUAUAGAACAAAACGAAGCCGCCACCAUGACUAAGUUUGUGGUGUACGGGACACAUGCUUCGUUUUUUGAUAAUAUGUGGCAACCGACGUCCAACACCCGUGUGUUCUGGGAGUGGAGUAGGGGAGAGGGCACCCCGACCAUCGCCUUCACCGGCACCCCGUUCAUGUUCAUCGGGACGAAGGAGAUGGGAUGUCAUCUGGGGAGAGACAUCUCCGAGAGCAAGAAGCGGAAGGAUAAACCCGACUUGUUGAAUGAUAACGCCGGUACCAGGAAACGAAGAAAGCGUAAGAGUGUGCAAGAUUGCAAAAAAAUCGGCUGUCCUGCAAUUCUGACCGUCACCAGAAUCGCAGCUUUCCCCCAGUUCAAGAUUGUGGACAAUAAGGACCGGACAAAGCGGGCGGCUUCAGCCCGGCUGAAACAGGCCCUGCAGAGAGACCCCGUGAUCUGGGAGAACGUUUACAUCAUCAAGACUCCGUCGCCAAGCGCCCACACGGGCCACGCCGUCAACGGGGAGCUCAUAUGGUCCAGGAAGACGUUUGUGAGGAAGGAAUGUUCUGAUCUCCUGAAACACCUCACGGAGAAGGUGCAUCUGGUGGAGGAGCAGAGGGGGCUGGAGCACAUCAAGAAGAAGCUGCUGGAUCUCAUGGACGACGUUCAGCCCAUGAUUCCACUCGAAGCUCGGAUUCCUCUGAGUGACGUUUGUGAGGGAGAGAAACGACUCAAAGGCUCGUCCUCCAAAGCAAAGACUGUGGGCGGCCUGAACACGAACUCAGUCAACUGUGGAAGCACUGAGGUCCACCUGCAGGACCGAGGAGGGACACAUUCCUGCCUCCCAACAUGGUUGGUUCAUGUUCUGAUUAUGUUUGAUGGAGGUGAAUCUAGUUGA
This 1168-nucleotide long non-coding RNA is filed under the name Gadus morhua (Atlantic cod). Its description in RNAcentral is "lncRNA (ENSGMOG00000032950.1)". The record is from RNAcentral. Lineage: Eukaryota; Metazoa; Chordata; Actinopteri; Gadiformes; Gadidae.